This 800-nucleotide ribosomal RNA is filed under the name uncultured bacterium. RNAcentral describes it as "bacterial SSU rRNA". It matches the Rfam family "Bacterial small subunit ribosomal RNA", at positions 32 to 825 of the family's 1533-position model. The record is from RNAcentral.
AACGCUAGCGGCAGGCUUAAUACAUGCAAGUCGAGGGGCAGCAUGGUGUAGCAAUACACUGAUGGCGACCGGCAAACGGGUGCGGAACACGUACAGAACCUUCCUUCGAGCGGGGAAUAGCCCAGAGAAAUUUGGAUUAAUACCCCAUAGUAUAUUAGAGUGGCAUCACUUUGAUAUUAAAGAUUUAUCACUUGAAGAUGGCUGUGCGGCUGAUUAGGUAGUUGGCGGGGUAACGGCCCACCAAGCCUGCGAUCAGUAACUGGUGUGAGAGCACGACCAGUCACACGGGCACUGAGACACGGGCCCGACUCCUACGGGAGGCAGCAGUAAGGAAUAUUGGUCAAUGGACGAAAGUCUGAACCAGCCAUGCCGCGUGGAGGAUGAAGGUCCUCUGGAUUGUAAACUUCUUUUAUAUGGGACGAAAAAAGGGUUUUCUAACUCGUCUGACGGUACCAUAUGAAUAAGCACCGGCUAACUCCGUGCCAGCAGCCGCGGUAAUACGGAGGGUGCAAGCGUUAUCCGGAUUCACUGGGUUUAAAGGGUGCGUAGGUGGGUUGGUAAGUCAGUGGUGAAAUCCCCGAGCUUAACUUGGGAACUGCCAUUGAUACUAUCAGUCUUGAAUACCGUGGAGGUCAGCGGAAUAUGUCAUGUAGCGGUGAAAUGCUUAGAUAUGACAUAGAACACCAAUUGCGAAGGCAGCUGGCUACCCGAAUAUUGACACUGAGGCACGAAAGCGUGGGGAUCAAACAGGAUUAGAUACCCUGGUAGUCCACGCCCUAAACUAUGGAUACUCGACAUUU